GACCGCUCCGGUGGCUUAAUGGUGAGAGCGUCCGUCUGGGAUGCGAAAGGUCGUGGGUACUAUCCCCGGCCGAGUCA
This is a non-coding RNA of Potamilus streckersoni, 77 nucleotides long. The record is from the annotation of a GenBank genome assembly. Lineage: Eukaryota; Metazoa; Mollusca; Bivalvia; Unionida; Unionidae.